GCCAGGUAGAAACCACACCUAGUGUUUUAAGCCAGUGACCUUGUCCAUCUGUCAUUCAGGGCAGACAGCUUUCCAGCAAGUGCAGCCUCCCAGAAGGUGCUUGGCUCAGAGGCAAACAGCAAUUUCUAAAAUCCCUAAUUAAGUAAGCAGGGGAAAGGGCAAAGGUUUUCUUUCACUCUACAACCCGGCAAGCCCUCUCCCCCUCAGACAGGCGUUGUUAAGCCUCUUCGUCUGAACUGGCAGCAGCCAAGGGCCCACUGUUGUUGGCAUGGGUUUUCCUGUUGAAAGACACUUUAAUGAGCGAGUUGGCACCGUGUUCUGCACCUCGUAAAUAAAUCAGCCCGACGUAGAAUCGAGAGGCGGCUGUUGAUGGUGUGUACUCACACGGCGUCCUGAACCUGAGCUCUUCAGAGUUGAUUCACCACGCCUUCCUGCAGCCCAUGAGGGAGAGAGGCGGCAGGAAUUAUUAUCCCUGCUUUCAAACCAGGGACUGAGAGAGAGGUUAAGAGGCAGUAAGUUGGAA
Long non-coding RNA from Choloepus didactylus (southern two-toed sloth), 523 nucleotides. RefSeq lists it as uncharacterized. The transcript has 3 exons. The record is from RefSeq and is a predicted model, not a curated record. NCBI's taxonomy places the organism in Eukaryota, Metazoa, Chordata, Mammalia, Pilosa, Megalonychidae.